This 488-nucleotide ribosomal RNA is filed under the name uncultured bacterium. RNAcentral's name for it is "bacterial SSU rRNA". It matches the Rfam family "Bacterial small subunit ribosomal RNA", at positions 28 to 507 of the family's 1533-position model. The record is from RNAcentral.
GAUGAACGCUAGCGGGAGGCUUAACACAUGCAAGUCGAGGGGCAGCACGAGGUAGCAAUACUUUGGUGGCGACCGGCGCACGGGUGAGUAACGCGUAUGUAACCUACCCUGUACAGGGGGAUAACCCGGAGAAAUUCGGACUAAUAUCCCAUAAAGAUAUAAGAGGGCAUCCUUUUGUAUUUAAAGCUCAGGCGGUACGGGAUGGGCAUGCGUAACAUUAGCUAGUUGGUAGGGUAACGGCCUACCAAGGCUACGAUGUUUAGGGGUCCUGAGAGGGUGAUCCCCCACACUGGUACUGAGACACGGACCAGACUCCUACGGGAGGCAGCAGUGAGGAAUAUUGGUCAAUGGGCGCAAGCCUGAACCAGCCAUCCCGCGUGCAGGAAGACGGCCCUAUGGGUUGUAAACUGCUUUUCCAGGGGGUGGAAACUCCCGUACGAGUACGGGACUGACGGUACCUUGGGAAUAAAGCAUCGGCUAACUCCGUG